RNAcentral lists this ribosomal RNA (982 nucleotides) under human gut metagenome. Its description in RNAcentral is "bacterial LSU rRNA". It matches the Rfam family "Bacterial large subunit ribosomal RNA", at positions 1945 to 2925 of the family's 2925-position model. The record is from RNAcentral.
ACGGUCCUAAGGUAGCGAAAUUCCUUGUCAGGUAAGUUCUGACCCGCACGAAUGGCGUAAUGAUUUGGGCACUGUCUCGACAGCCCGCCCGGCGAAAUUGUAGUACUGGUGAAGAUGCCAGUUACCCGCAACUAGACGGAAAGACCCCAUGGAGCUUUACUGCAGUUUAAUACUGGGAAUCGGUAAUGCAUGUACAGGAUAGGUGGGAGACUAGGAAGCAUGGUCGUCAGGUCAUGUGGAGUCACCGGUGGGAUACCACUCUUGUAUUGCUGAUUUCCUAACCUGCGGCCGUGAAUCCGGUCGGGGGACACUGUUAGACGGGCAGUUUGACUGGGGCGGUCGCCUCCAAAAGAGUAACGGAGGCGCUCAAAGGUUCGUUCAGCACGGACGGAAAUCGUGCAUUGAGUGUAAACGCAUAAACGAGCCUAACUGCGAGACCGACGGGUCGAGCAGUAACGAAAGUUGGAGUUAGUGAUCCGGUGGUAUGUGAGUGGAAAUGCCAUCGCUCAACGGAUAAAAGCUACCCUGGGGAUAACAGGCUGAUCUCCCCCAAGCGUCCACAGCGACGGGGAGGUUUGGCACCUCGAUGUCGGCUCGUCGCAUCCUGGGGCUGUAUUCGGUCCCAAGGGUUUGGCUGUUCGCCAAUUAAAGCGGCACGCGAGCUGGGUUCAGAACGUCGUGAGACAGUUCGGUCCCUAUCUGUUGCGGGCGUAAGAGAUUUGAAGGGAGCUGUCCUUAGUACGAGAGGACCGGGAUGGACGUACCUCUGGUGCACCAGUUGUCCUGCCAAGGGCAUAGCUGGGUAGCUAUGUACGGACGAGAUAAACGCUGAAAGCAUCUAAGCGUGAAACUCCCCCUAAGAUGAGAUCUCUCAUCCUUUAUGGAGUAAGGGCCCAGAAAGACGAUCUGGUUGAUAGGCCGGAGGUGGAAGUGCAGCAAUGUAUGGAGCUGACCGGUACUAAUAGCCCGAGGGCUUGACCUA